RNAcentral lists this ribosomal RNA (406 nucleotides) under uncultured bacterium. RNAcentral describes it as "partial 16S ribosomal RNA". It matches the Rfam family "Bacterial small subunit ribosomal RNA", at positions 29 to 526 of the family's 1533-position model. The record is from RNAcentral.
AUUGAACGCUGGCGGCAGGCCUAACACAUGCAAGUCGAGCGAGCGGCGGACGGGUGAGUAAUGUCUGGGAAACUGCCUGAUGGAGGGGGAUAACUACUGGAAACGGUAGCUAAUACCCCAUACCAUCAUAUGUGCCCAGAUGGGAUUAGCUAGUAGGUGGGGUAACGGCAAACCUAGGCGAGGAUCCCUAGCUGGUCUGAGAGGAUGACCAACCACAAGGGAACCGCGAGACGGACCAGACUCCAAGGGGAGUCAGAAGGGGGGAAUAGUCCACAAUGGGCGGAAGCGUAAUGCAGCCAUGCCGAGGGUAUGAAGAAGGCCAUCGGGUUGUAACGUACUUUAAGCGGGGAGGCGUUACCCGGAGAAGAAGCACCGGCUAACACCGUGCCAGCAGCCGCGGUAAUAG